AUCCAGCUGACGUGUCCCGAAUGGGUCGAAACGUUCGUCCUGGAU
RNAcentral lists this non-coding RNA (45 nucleotides) under Schistosoma mansoni. Lineage: Eukaryota; Metazoa; Platyhelminthes; Trematoda; Strigeidida; Schistosomatidae. The record is from RNAcentral.